GUGCAGCCGCCGCGGUAAUACCGGCAGCUCGAGUGAUGACCGAUUUUAUUGGGCCUAAAGCGUCCGUAGCUGGCCGCGCAAGUCUGUCGGGAAAUCCACCCGCUUAACGGGUGGGCGUCCGGCGGAAACUGUGCGGCUUGGGACAGGAAGGCUCGAGGGGUACGUUCGGGGUAGGAGUGAAAUCCCGUAAUCCUGAACGGACCACCGAUGGCGAAAGCACCUCGAGAGGACUGAUCCGACAGUGAGGGACGAAAGCUGGGGUCUCGAACCGGAUUAGAUACCCUCGUAGUCC
This 292-nucleotide ribosomal RNA is filed under the name uncultured prokaryote. RNAcentral describes it as "partial 16S ribosomal RNA". It matches the Rfam family "Archaeal small subunit ribosomal RNA", at positions 455 to 747 of the family's 1478-position model. The record is from RNAcentral.